Molecule: transfer RNA, 85 nt
Filed under: Candidatus Pacearchaeota archaeon
Lineage: Archaea; Nanobdellati
Description: tRNA-Ile
Rfam family: tRNA
About the family: Transfer RNA (tRNA) molecules are approximately 80 nucleotides in length. Their secondary structure includes four short double-helical elements and three loops (D, anti-codon, and T loops).
Source: RNAcentral
GCCAGCGUGACCGAAACGGUGUCGGAGCUGCCUGAUAAGCAGUGUUCUUUCCCAAGAACUCUGGGUUCGAUUCCCGGCGCUGGCG